RNAcentral lists this ribosomal RNA (1234 nucleotides) under metagenome. RNAcentral describes it as "bacterial LSU rRNA". It matches the Rfam family "Bacterial large subunit ribosomal RNA", at positions 1564 to 2808 of the family's 2925-position model. The record is from RNAcentral.
UGAAUACGAGAUGCUACGGCGUCGAAGCAGUCUAUGUCAUACUUCCAAGAAAAGCUUGCACUGUCAUAAACAAAUAAUGCCUGUACCAUAACCGACACAGGUGGGUAGGUAGAGUAUACUAAGGGGCGCGAGGUAACUCUCUCUAAGGAACUCGGCAAGAUGACUCCGUAACUUCGGGAGAAGGAGUGCCUUAUUUAUAAGGUUGCAAUAACAAGAUCCAAGCAACUGCUUACCAAAAACACAGGUCUCCGCUAAGUCGUAAGACGAUGUAUGGGGGCUGACGCCUGCCCAGUGCCAGAAGGUUAAAGAAGUUGGUUAGCAUCCGCGAAGCUGAUAACUGAAGCCCUGGUGAACGGCGGCCCUAACGAUAACGGUCCUAAGGUAGCGAAAUUCCUUGUCGGGUAAGUUCCGACCCGCACGAAAGGCGUAAUGAUUUGGAUACUGUCUCGGAGAGGGGCUCGGUGAAAUAGACUUGUCUGUGAAGAUGCGGACUACCUGCACCAGGACAGAAAGACCCUAUGAAGCUUUACUGUAACCUGAAAUUGAAAUUGGACUUUACUUGCGCAGUAUAGGUGGGAGGCGUUGAGAAUAUUCUUGCGGGAUUAUUGGAGCCAUCAGUGAGAUACCACUCUUGUAAUGUUAGAUUUCUAACUUUGUAUCAUUAUCUGGUCAAAGAACAGUUUCAGGCGGGCAGUUUGACUGGGGCGGUCGCCUCCUAAACGGUAACGGAGGCGCACAAAGGUUUCCUCUGAACGGGUAGAAAUCGUAUCUAGAGUGUAAAGGCAUAAGGAAGCUUGACUGUGAGACCUACAAGUCGAGCAGGGACGAAAGUCGGUCUUAGUGAUCUGACGGUGCUGAGUGGAAAGGCCGUCACUCAACGGAUAAAAGUUACUCUAAGGAUAACAGGCUGAUCUCCCCCAAGAGUUCACAUCGACGGGGAGGUUUGGCACCUCGAUGUCGGCUCAUCGCAUCCUGGGCGGUAGUACGUCCCAAGGGUUGGGCUGUUCGCCCAUGAAAGCGGUACGCGAGCUGGGUUCAAAACGUCGUGAGACAGUUCGGUCCAUAUCCGGUGUAGGCGUUAGAAUAUUGAGAGGAGCCUUCUUUAGUACGAGAGGACCGAGAAGGACAUACCUCUGGUGUACCAGUUAUCGUGCCAACGGUAAACGCUGGGUAGCUAUGUGUGGAGUGGAUAACCGCUGAAAGCAUCUAAGUGGGAAGCCCACCUCAAGAUAAG